RNAcentral lists this ribosomal RNA (253 nucleotides) under uncultured bacterium. RNAcentral describes it as "partial 16S ribosomal RNA". It matches the Rfam family "Bacterial small subunit ribosomal RNA", at positions 524 to 776 of the family's 1533-position model. The record is from RNAcentral.
UACAGAGGGUGCAAGCGUUAAUCGGAAUUACUGGGCGUAAAGCGCACGUAGGCGGUCUUUUAAGUCGGGGGUGAAAUCCUGGAGCUCAACUCCAGAACUGCCUUCGAUACUGGAAGACUCGAGUCCGAGAGAGGUGAGUGGAACUGCGAGUGUAGAGGUGAAAUUCGUAGAUAUUCGCAAGAACACCAGUGGCGAAGGCGGCUCACUGGCCCGGUACUGACGCUGAGGUGCGAAAGCGUGGGGAGCAAACAGG